Molecule: ribosomal RNA, 484 nt
Filed under: uncultured bacterium
Lineage: Bacteria
Description: partial 16S ribosomal RNA
Rfam family: Bacterial small subunit ribosomal RNA
Source: RNAcentral
AUUGAACGCUGGCGGCAGGCCUAACACAUGCAAGUCGAGCGGAUGAAGGGAGCUUGCUCCUGGAGUCAGCGGCGGACGGGUGAGUAAUGCAUAGGAACCUGCCUGGUCGUGGGGGAUAACGUCCGGAAACGGGCGCUAAUACCGCAUACGUCCUGAGGGUGAAAGUGGGGGACCUUCGGACCUCACGCUAUCAGAUGAGCCUAGGUCGGAUUAGCUAGUUGGUGGGGUAAAGGCCUACCAAGGCGACGAUCCGUAACUGGUCUGAGAGGAUGAUCAGUCACACUGGAACUGAGACACGGUCCAGACUCCUACGGGAGGCAGCAGUGGGGAAUAUUGGACAAUGGGCGAAAGCCUGAUCCAGCCAUGCCGCGUGUGGGAAGAAGGUCUUCGGGUUGUAAAGCACUUUUAGUCGGAAGGAAGAGCAGUAAGUUAAUACCUUGCUGUUUUGACGUUACCAAAAGAAUAAGCACCGGCUAACUACGUG